CGGCAGCGGGUCCAGCAAUGGAUGCCGGCGAGUGGCGCACGGGUGCGUAACGCGUAUGCAAUCUACCUUUAACUGGGGGAUAGCCCCGAGAAAUCGGGAUUAAUACCCCAUAAUAUUGAGAAGGGACACCUCUUUUCAAUUAAAGCUCCGGCGGUUUUAGAUGAGCAUGCGUGACAUUAGCUAGUUGGUGAGGUAACGGCCCACCAAGGCGACGAUGUCUAGGGGUUCUGAGAGGAUUUUCCCCCACACUGGUACUGAGACACGGACCAGACUCCUACGGGAGGCAGCAGUAAGGAAUAUUGGUCAAUGGGCGAGAGCCUGAACCAGCCAUCCCGCGUGCAGGAAGACGGCCCUAUGGGUUGUAAACUGCUUUUUUAUGGGAAGAAAAAGCUCUACGUGUAGGGCACUGACGGUACCAUAUGAAUAAGCAUCGGCUAACUCCGUGCCAGCAGCCGCGGUAAUACGGAGGAUGCGAGCGUUAUCCGGAUUUAUUAGGUUUAAAGGGUGUGUAGGCGGAUGAUUAAGUCAGUGGUGAAAUCUCACAGCUUAACUGUGAAACUGCCAUUGAUACUGGUUAUCUUGAGUACAGUUGAAGUAGGCGGAAUGUGUAAUGUAGCGGUGAAAUGCUUAGAUAUUACACAGAACACCGAUUGCGAAGGCAGCUUACUGGGCCAUUACUGACGCUGAUGCACGAAAGCGUGGGGAGCGAACAGGA
This 715-nucleotide ribosomal RNA is filed under the name uncultured bacterium. Its description in RNAcentral is "bacterial SSU rRNA". It matches the Rfam family "Bacterial small subunit ribosomal RNA", at positions 67 to 777 of the family's 1533-position model. The record is from RNAcentral.